UAUCUGACUCUCUCACUCAUCACUGUGCUCAACCCAAGAACAAGAACAAGAACACAAUACACACAUACCUCUCUCUCUAUCUACAAUGAUCUGGUGUUUCACGAUGGUCGCACCAUCUAGGAUUUCGAUCUGAAUCACUGACCCCUCAUACCGCAUCACCGACCCCAUAUGUUUCAGAUCUGAAUCGCGCCAUGAUACCUUAGGUGUUUUCGCCCAGAUCUGUGGUUUGGUAUAGAUCUGUGGUUUGGUCUGGGUGGCAAGAAAAACAAACCGAAAUCGACAGGGAAGGUGAGAGAUUUGGUGGUGCUUAAGUCGUUUCAGGUGAUGGCGCUCCAGUAUUGACGGCGGGUCAGAUAAUUAGAAGAUGAUGACGGCGGGUUUGCGAGCGUGUGUUUGUUUGGAUUUGGAUUUUUGAGUUUGUUAUAUGGAGACCUAGUUUUGGUGUCAUGAACAGCAAGAUUGAUCUAUCUUUUAUCUUCAAUACCUUGGUCACCAUGACUCAAAGUUGCUGAUGUGGUUUUACUGAAUAAUGAAUAGAUGAGAUUUGUUU
Molecule: long non-coding RNA, 550 nt
Filed under: Helianthus annuus (common sunflower)
Lineage: Eukaryota; Viridiplantae; Streptophyta; Magnoliopsida; Asterales; Asteraceae
Description: hypothetical non coding rna
Source: RNAcentral